CAAGACAACGUCGCUCUUUGCUUUUACUCCGUGUAUCGGCUCUAUCUGCGCCCCAACACCGUUCCCAGCAGGUGGGACACAGUCGGAGCCCCGGGGGACUUUUCUCCGGGCGGACUGACACAGCUCGGCGGUCAGUGUGGCCGCUACGCACAAUCGCACAAUCCCGAGACCAAGAGAAGGGCGGCGAGCGCGGGCGCCACCGAAGGGGACGUGCCUGGAAACACUACAGCACACUCCCCCUUUCUCCCUCCUCAGCUAAAACACCCUCCGACCAAAGAACUGCUUCCCAGCCCGAAGGGGAGCCACUCCACCCUCAGGUAGAGGCCACGCAGCCCACCGCAGGGCGACCCGGCAAAGGCUCUCGAACGUGGGCCACCGGUUUCCAGCCCCGGCGCCCCGAGGAGGAAAGCCCUGGCCGAGACACACAGCCGGGACGCGGAGGUCCAACCCACGCACGCGGGGUGACUCCACCGUGCACCGACCCGAGCGGCACUGUUUGCAAACUGCACGAGCGUAUCUCCUUUUGAGUGGAGAGAAACUUAAAAUAUAUAUACAUGUAUUCCUUUAAGUGAAAGAAAAAUUACUUUUCAGAGAAAGUGUAUUUUCCAGAGCUCCAAUGCACACGCCGUACGUGCAGGAUUCAGAUCCCUGGGCUGGAAACUCCGCACAGAUUUGCUUGCAGUGUAAAGUAGCAUCUUGGGGGUGGAGGGGCGUGGGGCUGUUUACAAAAGUGAUUUGUGGCGAUUCCUGGCCUUUGCAGCACCCCCUCACAGCGCGCGCCCCCUCAGCACCCCCUCCCCCCAGUGCUUUGAAACACCUCUAAGAACAGUUUGUGAUCAGACUAAGGAUUAGAGGGAAAGGACUUCAGCACAAGGGUGGGGCAAACCGACACAGAAACCGUUUUGUAAAAACGCACAAGAUCCCGAAUUAAAAACGGCAGAAACAAAAAAGAUCAGUCCAGCAAAGGAAAUAAGAAACUAGCUUCUUUUACCACCCGUUUUCGGGUAAUGGAAAACAAUCGCGACCGCUUGACGACUUUCUUCCUGUGCUAGGUCACCUCUAUCUUCCAAAAGUAAAAAAAAAAAAAAAAAAAAGCUUGAGCCAGAUCGGCCACGGAGAACGGAAAGACGAGAAAGCUGCGCUUCCGAACCACAGAGACCCGGCGCCAGGCAGGGCGCCGCUCGCACCCGCAACCCGCACCCGGCUCGCCUCGGUCCACACGGGGCAGAGGUGGGUCUCCCUCGCCCUGCACCCUGCUUUUUCCACCCGCAGGGGCUCGCUGCCCCCUGAGAGGCGAGUGACCCGCGCGCCCUCUGUCCCUCCGUUGCCCCUGCCUCGGGACAGCCUCACCCUGGGAUGGCCUUCUCUGGAGAGCAGCGCGCCAGCCACCGCGCCAGGAGCAGUAGACCCAAAGCGCCUCACCGUAAUCGCGGCUUUGCACCAACCCCUCUCCGUUGGAUUCUCUUUUUUCCUGCGAUGUGCAAAUAAAUCCACCGAUGCAAACUUUUCCCUCCUUUCCAAACUCUGCUUCAGCCCAACUUCCGAGCAAGCGAUAGGA
Manis javanica (Malayan pangolin) is the source of this 1558-nucleotide non-coding RNA. The record is from RefSeq and is a predicted model, not a curated record. NCBI's taxonomy places the organism in Eukaryota, Metazoa, Chordata, Mammalia, Pholidota, Manidae.